CUCUGGGUCCAACCUCCCAUCCGUGUCUAUCUGUACCCUGUUGCUUCGGCGUGGCCACGGCCCGCCGGAGACUAACAUUUGAACGCUGUCUGAAGUUUGCAGUCUGAGUUUUUAGUUAAACAAUCGUUAAAACUUUCAACAACGGAUCUCUUGGUUCCGGCAUCGAUGAAGAACGCAGCGAAAUGCGAUAAUUAAUGUGAAUUGCAGAAUUCAGUGAAUCAUCGAGUCUUUGAACGCACAUUGCGCCCCCUGGUAUUCCGGGGGGCAUGCCUGUCCGAGCGUCAUUGCUGCCCUCAAGCACGGCUUGUGUGUUGGGCUUCCGUCCCUGGCAACGGGGACGGGCCCAAAAGGCAGUGGCGGCACCAUGUCUGGUCCUCGAGCGUAUGGGGCUUUGUCACCCGCUCCCGUAGGUCCAGCUGGCAGCUAGCCUCGCAACCAAUCUUUUUAACCAGGUUGACCUCGGAUCAGGUAGGGAUACCCGCUGAACUUAAGCAUAUCAAAA
This 502-nucleotide ribosomal RNA is filed under the name Aspergillus amstelodami. Its description in RNAcentral is "eukaryotic LSU rRNA". The stretch from base 131 to 284 matches the Rfam family "5.8S ribosomal RNA". The record is from RNAcentral. Lineage: Eukaryota; Fungi; Ascomycota; Eurotiomycetes; Eurotiales; Aspergillaceae.